ACGAACGCUGGCGGCGUGCUUCACACAUGCAAGUCGAACGGAAAGGCCCUGCUUUUGUGGGGUGCUCGAGUGGCGAACGGGUGAGUAACACGUGAGUAACCUGCCCUUGACUUUGGGAUAACUUCAGGAAACUGGGGCUCAUACCGGAUAGGAGCUCCUGCUGCCUGGUGGGGGUUGGAAAGUUUCGGCGGUUGGGGAUGGACUCGCGGCUUAUCAGCUUGUUGGUGGGGUAGUGGCUUACCAAGGCUUUGACGGGUAGCCGGCCUGAGAGGGUGACCGGCCACAUUGGGACUGAGAUACGGCCCAGACUCCUACGGGAGGCAGCAGUGGGGAAUAGUGCACAAUGGGCGGAAGCCUGAUGCAGCAACGCCGCGUGCGGGAUGACGGCCUUCGGGUUGUAAACCGCUUUCGCCUGUGACGAAGCGUGAGUGACGGUAAUGGGUAAAGAAGCACCGGCUAACUACGUG
Molecule: ribosomal RNA, 467 nt
Filed under: uncultured bacterium
Lineage: Bacteria
Description: partial 16S ribosomal RNA
Rfam family: Bacterial small subunit ribosomal RNA
Source: RNAcentral